GAAGGAAUGAGGGGUGGCUGCCUUCCUCUCUCAGGAGUCCUUGUGGAUUCCUUCCAAAGAAGAAAAUUCAAGUGAAGAGGCUACCUUUUCAGAGAUUUUCUUUCAUGAAUGGAGCCAUCUGUGUUUGGCAGUGUUCUUCCUGUAACGUUGUGACCGGAG
Lemur catta (Ring-tailed lemur) is the source of this 159-nucleotide long non-coding RNA. RefSeq lists it as uncharacterized. NCBI's taxonomy places the organism in Eukaryota, Metazoa, Chordata, Mammalia, Primates, Lemuridae. The transcript is spliced from 3 exons. The record is from RefSeq and is a predicted model, not a curated record.